Molecule: long non-coding RNA, 3318 nt
Organism: Phyllostomus hastatus (greater spear-nosed bat)
Lineage: Eukaryota; Metazoa; Chordata; Mammalia; Chiroptera; Phyllostomidae
Exons: 4
Source: RefSeq, a predicted model, not a curated record
CAAAACAGGACCGGACAACCUCAGGCCGUCCCUAACAUCCCUGCUGCGAGGCCGCGGGCUGUGGAAUCUCGCACGUCACCUGGCCCCAGCAGGGCAGCCAGCUGAAGUGUUCAUUUAAUUUAAUUUAAUUUUAUUUUAUUUUAAUUUUUUCAAGUUAAGGCUGACUCUCGGCUUCAGUGCUUUUGCCAGCCAACGUCUCCUCCACUGACAGGAACCAGCAAACUUCAAGACUCAAAUAGGCGUCUUAAUUUAUGGACGCAAAACAGGUCUGCUUGUGGCCCCAAAUGCUCCGCGCGCUCAGUCCCCUGCGCCCCCAGCUUCGGUCCCUCCAUUUGAUCUCUGGAAAGCUUCACAUGUGAGAUAAAUGCACUCAAAGACUCCUCACAAGUAGCUCUUUGGAGCUUCAGAUGUGAAAUGGAUCAUUCCUCAAUCUGUAAUAGACCCUUCUGUGAAGCUCUUCAAUCAAACCUGAGAAUUCAAGGCGUUUUGUAGCAUCCUAAACAGAAGGAUAUUGAAGGGAGCUGAUUCUGCUUUGAUCCUUGCGCUUGUUGUCAAAGCGCUUGGGAUUGAAGAGACUGUUGGCUACAAUUGACUGUGACAAUUAGGAGAUGAUCAGAGCCCUAGAGUGGAGCACUUAAAGGGUUUGCAUUUAAAACACUCUUGGAGCACUAAUGGAUUAAAAUUCUGAUAACUGCACAUUUUCUUUUUAGAGAGGUAAUGAGUGAAUGAAUGAAAAGGCAGGGAUUAUUUGCCAUUCUAAGCGGGAACUGUCAGAAGAUUUCUACUUGAAGGAAAUUGUUUUGGAAGGUGAGCUGGAACAAGACUCUUGCAACUCAAGCAAAGUGACUCUGCCUGUGGUUUUUCAAUGUUUCUCUUCAUCGAAGAAUUCUGAAGAACUGUUCUUGGACUUAGAAGUUGAUUUACAUUUUAUUUAUUGGAGAUUAUGUAGGUGAAUCAUAUGAAAACAUUUAAAACUAUGUGUAUUUGACUGUUAAUAAGUACAUCAGGGUCUUUUGCAAGCUCAGUUGAAAUGAUUUGAAAUGAGUUUUUCUGUUUAUCAUCACAGUGUUUUUACAAUGUAUAAAUUGCCAUAUUGUGACAAAAUAAAUUAUUGAAAUGCUUUGAAAAGUUUUUAGAAAUAUGCCUAAGAAAACAAUAUGUAAAUUCUUAGUUAAUUCACACGUUAAUUUAUUGAAAUAUUGCUGCUACUGAAAAGUUCUAGAGCCUUUAGCACAACAUUCCAGAACACUUACUGUCUUGUUUUAAUAAGCUGCUUUCUUUGUAUACCUGUCUGGUGGCAGCACAAAAGUUGCCAGAUUUAGCAAGUGAAAAUCAAGAAUUUCUAGUUAAAUUUGAGUUUCUGAUAAAUAGUGAAAACUUUUUUUAAUAUAAGUAUGUCCCAUGCAGUGCUUGCAUUUUGUCUUGGAAACCUAGGUGAUACUCUGAUAUUGCAAUGACACAUUGAAUGGAUGGGUUAGUAAUUUAUAAAUUAUAAAUUAUCAUUUAUAGAUCAGUUUCCAUUCACUAUCAUAUUAGGUAGGGCAGCCAGCAUGCAGCUUUCAGAUAGAAACCAAAGGCUUUUAACUUAUUAUUGCUGAGUUUAACUUUCCCCAUAAUGUUCCCGGGGCAAGCUGUGAGUUGUCAUUUCGAGUAUAAUAAUUCCUGUCUGACUAAUGCAAUUGAGACCUCGGAGAAGGUGGCUGAGGGGUUCUAGCCCAUCUACGUUGACCAGGCUCUGACAGAGGUGUUUGGAGGUUACAGAGAAAGAGAAGUGAGUGAUGCAAUGAGAAUAUAUUAGCUUUCUGAAGCCACAUCUUUCCUUUCAGGGCGGUGUUGUGACUACAUAGGUAAUAAGUUCAAAACCCUUAUAAUUCUGAUUUUGGUAGGGCCUUCUGGGAAAGGAAAGAUUCUAUGUCCUUGCAUAUUUUAUUUUAUUUUAUUCUGUUUAUGAUAAUCUAGUUGACAUGAAAGAAGCUGAGCUAAAACUUACAGAAAAUCAGAUUUCUCUUUGAAGCGUGUCAGUUCAGGCUGCUGGAACAAAGUACUAUAAACUGUGCAGUUUAUAACCAACAGACAUUUCUCAUCAUUCUGGAGGCUGGAAGUCUGAGAUCAGAGCUCCAGUAUGGUCAGAUUCUGGUGAGGGCCCCCUUCCAGGUUUGCAGAUGGUGUCUUCUUCCUGUGUUCUCACACAGUGGAGAGCAGAGCACUCUGGUCCAUUUCGCUCCUUAUAAGGGCACUAAUCUCAUUCAUAAGGGCUCCACACUUGUGACCUAAUCACAUCCCAAAAGGUCACCUCCUAAUACCAUCAAAUUUGGUAUGACGACUCCAACAUAUGAGUUUUUGAGUGACAUAAACAUUCAGUCCAUGACAAUUUCUCACUGUCCUUAAUUUUUUCCUCAGCAUUUGUCAGAUGCUGUCAAUGAGGACUCUCUGUAGCACAACAAUUUGAAAACCCUGUUUCCCGUCCCCUAAGCCCCAUUUUAAUUUCAUCCACAGCUUCAAGGAGUGGACAGUCCCUGGGAAGCCCAGGACUCUGGAACACUUUUUGAGUCUUCUAAUUUCUGCCUUAGAGCCUUUUCCAGAACUGUAGAAGCCCGCUCAAUAUGCUUCCUGAAGCUUGUUGUAGAAAUGUGGGGGAGUUGACAUCCUCAGGGGCAGCCUGAUAGGAGACAGGAGCCUGUGGAUAAAUGUUCCAGCCACAUAUCUUUUAGACGGGCAUUUCUGAGAAGCACUUGGCAUGCUGCUCAGAGGGCCCAUCUUCAACAACAGGCAUCUUAUGUACCCUGAUGGCACAUUAUGUGGGUUGGCCCCAAUCCUGCCUGCCUCGUUGUUUCCAUCCUCUGCCACCUAUUUCUAGGGAUAACCAACAUGCAUUGAAUUCCUUGUUUCAGGCCCUGUGUUCAGGGACACCCCAGUGAGGAUGCUCCUGAUGGUCUUUUGCUCCCAGCACCACAGUUAUCUCCCCAUUCUAUGACUGGGCACUCUGCUUCCAUCAAGGUUUACUUUUCCUGUUGUCAGAAGAGAGUUCUGCCACCGUUCCUACCACCAAAACCGAGUCAUAUGGUUUACCGAGUACUUCAUGCAUGCUCACCUCACCUGAACUUGCUUUUACAAUGAAACCACUUUUGAUUGAAUCCCCAACUUGCAAAUUUCCAUGCAGUUAAGAGUUCAACUAUCUGACAGUUUCUAAAAUCCUCAUGAGGUUGUUAGUUUUGAACAAUAAAAAGGAUAAACAUAUGCAAUUUUUUUGUGCUUUGCUGCUUAUUGGUGGUUUCUUCUGGCAAUUAUAGUAAUGGGUAGCCCCUCGGGAGUGAAAGU